CACGUAGGCGGAUUUGUAAGUCAGGGGUGAAAUCCCGGGGCUCAACCUCGGAACUGCCUUUGAUACUGCAAAUCUCGAGUCCGGAAGAGGUGAGUGGAAUUCCUAGUGUAGAGGUGAAAUUCGUAGAUACUAGGAAGAACACCAGUGGCGAAGGCGGCUCACUGGUCCGGUACUGACGCUGAGGUGCGAAAGCGUGGGGAGCAAACA
Molecule: ribosomal RNA, 207 nt
Filed under: uncultured bacterium
Lineage: Bacteria
Description: partial 16S ribosomal RNA
Rfam family: Bacterial small subunit ribosomal RNA
Source: RNAcentral